Molecule: long non-coding RNA, 316 nt
Filed under: Ictidomys tridecemlineatus (thirteen-lined ground squirrel)
Lineage: Eukaryota; Metazoa; Chordata; Mammalia; Rodentia; Sciuridae
Description: lncRNA (ENSSTOG00000033178.1)
Source: RNAcentral
CGCUGGCAUCGUGACUGGGGUCCUGGUCGGGGUGGCUCUGGUGGCCGCUCUGGGGUGUUUCCUGCUCCACACAAGAACUGGAAGGGCUGGUGUCCAGCAAGGCCUCAGAGACCACCGCACCCCAGCAUCAACAGCCAGUGAGUGCCCCUUCAGCCUGCGGGUGGCUGGGAGCCCUAGGCCUGCCCCUCAGUGUCACUCUUGCAGUCAACCACUCCUUAGGUCAAGUCCUUCCCCUGGGCCUCAGGAGCCCUGUCAUCAAACACUCAGGUCAGGGGACCCACCUGGCCUCACUUUUGGCAUCUAGUCACCUCCUUAG